Molecule: long non-coding RNA, 2172 nt
Filed under: Homo sapiens (human)
Lineage: Eukaryota; Metazoa; Chordata; Mammalia; Primates; Hominidae
Description: HSALNT0378206
Source: RNAcentral
AGAAGACCUCUUUUGAAAAUCUCUUGAAGUCUUUGCAGAGUUCUCUAAACAUGACCAGGAGGCCAAUCAUGAGGAGGAGUGAGAUGUUUUGAGGGAAAAUAGUCAAUAUACGUAAACUAAGUUCAAUACCAAUUCUUUGACUUGAAUAACGUUUUAUCAUCCCAGCAUUUUUGUCAGGUUAUCGCCGACCAGACUUCAUCUGGAAGCUCACGAAUGGCUUUGCAGCAUUGGUAAAGUCAGGUUCUCGUGGACUAACAACACUGUUUCUUGAUGUGAUUGUCCUCUGAAACUUCUCCUGAUUAUGCCUCGAGUUUUGAGUUGCCUUCUUUCUCUCACAUGAUCUCAUUCUUUUCAGGAUCAAGAUAUUUUAACUUCUGUGUUUAGCGCCUUUAAUAGAUUGAGCUAAGAAGUCUAAGCAAUCUUCAGGGCUAAGAAACAAGCUGCACUUGCCAGAGUUGGAUGUUCACACCUUGGUGAUGGCUGAUAUUAAACAGAAUUCUUAAUGAACAAAUCGGCCUUGAAAAGGGAACAUGGUGAAGCAAGACAAAAGAAUUACAAACUUUGACUGAAACUUUCUCCUACCAGGAAUACAGGGACCGCUCACCAGGUUGUGAUGAGAAGGAUCAUCUGAAAUGCUCCAUUGCUCUCAGAAGUUGAGGUAACUUCAUUGGGCCCAAACUGAUAAACUAGGAAUGGCUCAGAAAAUAGCCCCUUAGAAGAACUGUAUGAAGCUUGGAUCCAUUUUUCUGUUUCACUGACCCUUCUUAACCGCUAGUGGCUCAGAGGUCUGGUGAGGUGGUGAGAGCUGUCCUAGAUGACAUGCACCUGGAGCCCAAAUGUGGGAGAAAAAAGAAAAAUCCCUCCAAUGAUUUGGUGAGGAGUUGAAGACAAAUAUCUUUAUUAUUUAUAAGUAUUCUGGCCAAGACAAUGAGUGUUGGAGUGGGAGGAUGAGGGAAUUUUAUGAUGAACGACAGCACAGCAAGAUGGACAGUAAGGCUCUGUCAUUGCCAUACCAGAUGUACAGAAGUGGCAUUUCAACUAAGGACACUGAAUAUGAAACAGACCUUGGAAAAGAGAGGAUGGAGUUAACUCUGAGAACAGAAAUCACCUACCUCUCUCCUCCCUAAACACACAGCUUACUGUCUAUAAUAAUAUACCCUUACUGGUCCAUUGUCCUCAUUAACAUAACUACAAUUCCAGGAGACUCUUGCCCAGGCAAAUUGCUUUAUUGUUCAUUACAGAGAGUUUUUGAAACAAAGAACCAUCAAUGCUUCAACAGAAAGCAUCAACAGUUUAUACCCCAAGAUCUUAGAACUCCUCACUUCCAAAUCCUCACUAUGCUAAUCCUAAACUAUUAUGUCAUGAUUUUUACCUAAACAAGACCCUGCAUGGAAAGAUCCUCUUUAUACAAUCUUUCAUUUUUUUGUCCUGGCUUUAAAAUGCAAAGCCCAUAUCCUUGGAAUUCCCUCUGUCUUGGGCAAAGUGUGACAGUUGGCCACCCUACUCCAAAAUCUCAUAAUUUUCCCACCUUGCCCCUCUAGAGACUAUCAAUCUCUGUUGAGGUGGUUCUCUCUUUCCAGGGUGAGCAAUAAACUCCUUGCCAGAGCUUUCCAUUGGGGGAGGAGGGUUUGAACUACUGCCAGAGACAAACAGAUGUAAACUAGAUGCAGGAGUUUGGAAAUUGAGCAGGGUUUGCAGUCUGGAAAAUUGCUCCACAAGAGACUGUCGUUGAACGAGUAGUCCUGAGUGAGUGGUCUAAGAGAACGUCAGAGUGAAAGAAAAUGCAGCCCACCUGGGUCAGCUGAAAAGGUAGAGAAUAAAAGGGAAAUGAAAUGCAGCUGCUAGUAACAGUUGAUUAAAUGAGGCUGGCAACUUACAUGGAGGCUGGAAGAGGAGAAAUGUGGGAGAGGCAGCAAGGAGAGAGAAGGAAACAUGAAGGAGGAGAAGAUUUCUAGAAGGAAAUGUAAGAGCUACAAAGGAGAAAGAUGAAUGAGAGACCCCACAAGAAAACAGCAGGGAAAAGAAGCUGCUUUCUGAGUUGAUGGUUGUUUCUAGUUUGGGGCUAUUAUGAAGAAAGCUGCUAUGAAGAACAUCCAUGUACAAAUCAUUUUAUGGACACACAUACUCAUUGCUCUUGGGUAAAUAUCUAGGAAUAUGAUUUAUGGAUCAUAG